AAAGAAUUGGAUGCAUUGGCAGCCACCCAGCAACUGGAGGCCUGGGACAGCAUGGACUCAGAAUGGAGAUUUCCAGGAAAAUGUAGGAAAAGGUAAGCAGAGGUUAUAAAUUAGUGUUGGGCUACAUAAUCAAAGAAGUAGUAAAGGUGGUGCCCUACCAUAGAGCAGUGACCUCCAUAACAUCUGCAAUAAUUAGCACUGUUCUGACAGUGAGGAACAAUGAAAAAAGAGAAUCCACCUGGGUAAAUUCUACAAAGCAGUGGCCCACAGGGGAGAGCCUAGAAUGAAUACUUUAGAAGCUCUGACUACAUGAAGAAAACAAAGAGACUAGAUAAUUUUAGGGAUCAUGAAUCAGACAAUGAUGGUAAAGGAAGAGAAGAUGGGUAUGAAGAGAGAAAGAUCAAUACAAAACAAAUGUGAAAUUUUAAAGAAGUAAUUAAUAGGAUUAGGUGAAGGGUGAGAAGAGGAAAUCUAUUUGACUAAAUAAAAAGAAAAAGAUGGAAGAUAGAUUUAACCAAAUAAAAACAGGUGGAAAAAAAGGAACUAACAAACAAAACCCUAAAGAAAAUGAGAAGAGGGGAUCAGAAAGAAGCAGAAGGCCAGUGGAAACAGAGCCACCUUAAAAAAAUGAUAAAAUAAAGUAACUGAAGAAACAUAUAUUAUAACUGAAGAGGGGGGAAAUAACUUGAAAACCCUUCUGAUAUUUUAGAGAUAGAUGGAGGAAAAUACAAACUUUACUCUUGUAACUUCAAAUGUGAAUGGACCAAACAAUCCAAUAAAAUGAAACAAGUGGCAGAUGGGCUAAGAAACUAAAGUCCUACAAUCUAUUGCUUAGAAGAAACACAUUUAAAAUAAAACAAAAGCAUAUACAAAAUACAAUUAUUGUUUAUAAACAGCUCUAGACUCAAGGUGAGGAGGAGGAAUACCAGCAGGAACAGGGACUUGCUCAUAGUUCCAGGGCAGAAAAAAGUAUAUAUAGUCACUCAGAGACCAGAACAUAGGCCAUGAGUAGUAACUACAUCUCUCCUUAUAUCAAAGCUUCUUGAACUGUGGAUUGUGACUCCAUACUAGGUGGUUUAACUAAAUGGUAGAGCCCAUGAAUUUAUUAUUUUACAUACCUAUUUACCCAGGAUCAUGUAAAAAUUUCUCAGGGAAAAAGGGGUUGAGAGUGGAAAAAGUUUGAGAAGCCCUGCUUUAAAUGAUAGCAACCUGGAAAAAUGAAAACUCACAGAUCAGCAGAAAUAACUCUGAAAACAGCAGCAUGAAAAACCUGAAACUUGGUACAGUGGGACGACAUCGUGGGAGCAAAUCUAAUGUUAAAAGAAAGCAAAAAGUCAAGAAAUAGGCUGGAAAAUAAGCACACAACAAAAAAGAAUCUGACCAUAAAAAAUUAUUAUGAUAAGAUUCAACAGCUUGAUAAAAAUAUAUUGAAGAACACUUUAAAAACACAAUAGGCAAAAUGUUUGUAAAAGAGGCACAGAAAUCCAUUGAAGGAAAUAAUUCUUUAAAAAAAAUUAACAAAAUAGAAAAAUAUUGCAAGAAUUCAUUGAAGAGAAGAACUGCAUAAAAAUGACAUGUGAAAAAGAAGGCACAGCACCUGACAAUAGAAAAUAAAUCCUUAAAAAUAAGAAUUGGACAAAUAGAAGCUAUUUGCUCCAUGAAAUAUUAAAAAUCAGUAAAACAAAAUAAAAAGAAUGAAAAACUAGAUGUGCAGUAUUUCACUGGAAAAAUAACUGACCAGUGAAAUAGAUAUAGAAGAGGUAAUUUUAAAAUUAUUGGACUACCUGAAAGCUACAAUAAUAAAAGAGCCUAGACAUAAAUUUUUUCAAGUAUUUAUCAAGGAAAACUGUUCUAAUAUCCUAGAACAAGAGGGUAAAAUAGAUCCACUGCUCAUCUCCUGAAAGAUAUCUUUAAAUGAAAACUGUGAAUAAUAUUGUAGCCAAUUUAGCUGCUAAAUUAAGGAGAAAAUAUUACAAGCAGCAGAAAGAAACAAUUUAAAAAUCAUGGAGCCACAUUCAGGAUUACAUAAGAUUUAGCAAAUUUCAUGUUAAAGGGGUGGAGGGAUUGGAAUGAUAUUUUGGAGGGUAAAAGAGUUAGGAUUAAAAUAAAAACUCACUUCCCUAGAAAAACCGAGUCUAAUCCUUGAGGGGGUAAAUGGAUUUUUGAUAAAAUAGAGAACUUUAAAAAAUCCUGAUUAAAAGACCAGAACUGAAUAAAAAAAUUGACUGUCAAGUACAAGACUCAAGAGAAGUAUAAAAAGGUAAACAGGAUUCAAUAAACAAAAAGGAUAAAAAGGUAAAAGAUUCAAUAAAGUCAAACCAUUUACAUUCCGCCAUGGGAAGAGGAUACUUAUAACUCCUAAGAACUUCAUCAUUAAAGGGCUAUCAGAGGAAGUACACAUACACAUCAAUGUGAGUUGAGCAUAAUGGGUUGAUAUCCCCAAAAUAAAAUUAAAGGGUGAGAAAGAGAAAUAUGGUAGGUAAAGAGGGAAUGGCAAAAUAGCAUGGGAUAAAUUAUCAAAUGUAAAAGAGAUAAAGACUUUUCAUUAGUGGAGGGGGAAAUGAUGAGGAGAAGGGUGGCAGGUUACCCUUGAAUCUUUUUCCUUGUAAUUGGCUCAAAGACAGAGUUACAUACACAUGCAGUUGGAUAUAUAAAUAUAUCCUACCAUGCAGAGAAGUAUGAAGGGAGGAGAAAAAGAGAAUGUAAAAGGGAGGGCAGAAUGGGGGAAGCAGUAGUCAGAAGCAAAAUACUUCUGAAGAACAGGGUAAAAAGAGCCAGAACAAGAACAGCAUAAAUGGAGGGAAACAGGAUGGAGACAAAGACACAGUAACCAUAAUAAACUGCUAAUGGGCCUGGGAUGAAUUCACCCAUGAAUUGAAAGCAGAAAACAUUAAAAACUAGAGUCUUUAAUAGGAAUGAGUGUUUUAUUUUGUCAAAUGCUUUUCCAGCAGCUACUGAGAUUAUCAUAUGAUUUCUUCUAGUUGGGUUACUGACAUAGUCAAUCUUGCUAAUAGUUUUCCUGAUAUUGAACCAGCCCUGCAUUCCUAGUACAAAUCCCACUUGGUCAUGGUGUAUUAUCCUGGGGAUAGCUUCCUGAAAUCUCUUUGCUAAUAUUUUAUUUAAGAUUUUUGCAUUAAUUUUCAUUGGGGAAAUUGUUCUCUAAUUUUUCUUCUCUGUUUUGACUCUACCUGAUUUUAGGUAUCAUUCACCAUCGUUUGCAUAUUUUUUUUUCAUUAAUUGCCUUGAAAUUCUUAACAUUUUUUUCCUUCCAGAUAAAUUAUAUUAUUUUUUUCUACCUCUAUAAAUUAAUUUCUUGGCACUUUGAUUGGUUUGGCAGUGAAUAAAUUAAUUUAAGUAGAACUAUCACUUUUUAUUAUUAUUUUUAUUAUUAGUUAAUAAUUAUUAUUUUAUUAUUAGCUAAGCUUAUCCAUGAACACUUAAUAUUCUUCCAAUUUUUUACAUCUGACUUUAUUACUGUGAAAAGUGUUUUAUAAUUAUGUUCUGGCUUUGUCUUGACAGGUCGACGUCUGUCCAAAUAUUUUAUAUUAUUAAGUUAUUUUAAAUGGCAUUUCUAUAUCUCUUGCUGAUGAACUUUGUUGGUAACAUAUGGAAAUAGCAAUGAUUUGUGUGGAUUUACUGUGUAUCCUGCAACUAUGCUAAAAUUGUUAAUUGUUUCUGGUAGUUUUUUAGUUUAUUUUCUAGAAUUUUCUAAGUAUACCAUCAUAUCAUCUGCAGAGUGAUAAUUUUGCUUCCUGUUUACCUACUCUUAAUUCUUUCAAUUUCUUCUCUUAUUGUAAAGCUAAACAUUUCUAAUAAAUAUUGAAUAGUAAUGGUGAUAGCCUGCAACCUUUUCUCACCACUGAUCUUAUUAGGAAUGCUUGUUCAUCCCCAUGACAUAUGAUAUUUGCUGGUGCUUUUAAACAGAUACUACUUAUCAUUUUAAGGGAAACUCCAUUUAUUCCUAUGUUCUUUAGUGUUUUUUUUUUAAUAAUAACUUUUUAUUUUCAAAAUAAAUGCAAAAAUAAUUUUCAACAUUCACCCUUGGAAAAUCUUGUGUUCCAAUUUUUUUUCUCCCUCCCUUCUGCCCACCCUCUCCCCUAAACAGCAAGUAAUCCAAUAUGUUAAAUGUAAUGGGCCAGAACUCUGGAGAAAUGUACUCCCACAGCAGUCCUUCAUCAAGGAGACAGUGUGAUACGAGUGGGUGAACCUCCCACUCUGAACCAGUCUCUCCCAGAGUGCAGGAGGCAGGAGAGCCACCCUGAGCCAGAUUAGUUUAAAUUUACUUCUUUACAAUUACAUCAACUGUAAAACUAUUACAUCACCAUGCUAAGUAUUAAGUAUAUGUAAUCUAGAUAACCAUUGUCUUAUCAAUUCCACUGAGUUAACAACUUGUUGUAGGAUUAAAUCAAUCAUAGUGAACUAGAGAACUCACAUGCUAAACUAAUCAUUAUCUUAUCAAUUCCACUGAGUUAACACCUUGUUGUAAGAAUCCUUAUUUCAAGUACAUUUCUCCAGAGUUCUGGCCCACUACAGUUAAACAUGUAUGUAAUUCUUCUAUACAUAUUUCCACAAUUAUCAUGAUGCACAAGAAAAAUCAAUUCAAAAAGGGGAAAAAUGAGAAAAAACAAAAAGCAAACAAAAAAGGUACAAAUACUAUGUUAUGAUCUACACUCUGUCCCUAUGGUCUACUCUUUGGAUGUAGAUGGUUCUCCAUCACAAGUCUAUUGGAAUUGACCUGAAUCACUUCAUUGUUGAAAAGAGUCAAGUCUGUCACAGUUGAUCAUCACAUAAUCUUAUUGCUGCUGUGUACAAUGUUCUGUUGGUUCUACUCACUUCACUUAAUAUCAGUUCAUCUAAGUCUCCCAGGACUUUCUGAAAUCAUCCUGCUGGUCAUUUCUUAUAAAACAAUAAUAUUCCAUAAAGUUCAUAUAUGGUAACUUAUUCAGCCAUUCUCCAACUGAUGAACAUUCACCCAGUUUCCAGUUCCAUGCCGCUACAAAUAUUUUUGCACAUGUUCUCCAGUAUUUUUAAUAGGAAUGGGUAUUGUAUUUUGCGAAAUGCUUUAUCUGUAUCUAUGGAUAUAAUAUUUCUUUUAAUUUAGUUAUUGAUAUACUCACUUCUGCUAAUAGUUUUCCUAAUACUGAAUCAGUCCUGCAUCAGUGCUAUAAAUCCUAAUUGAUCACAUUACAUGUGAUAUAUAUAUAUAUAUAUAUAUACAUAUAUAUAUAUAUAAUGUAUAUAUGCAUAAUAGAAUGUAUCAUUAUCCUGGUGAUAAGUUGCUAUAAUCUCUUUGCUAAUAUUUUAAGAUUUUUACACCAACAUUCUUUAGGGAAACUGGUCAAUAAGUUCCUUCAUUUUGAACCUACCUGGUUUAGGCAUCAGCACCAUAUCUGUGUCAUAACAAGAAUUUGGUAGGACUCCUUCUAUUUUUCCAAAUACUUUGCAUGAUAUGGGAUUUAAUUGUUGUUUAAAUGUUUGAUACAAUUCACUUGUAAAUCCAUCUGGCCUUCAAGAUUUUUUUCUAAAGUUCAUUAAUAGCUUGUUCAAUUUCUUUUUCUAAAAUAUAUUUAAGUAAUUCAUAUCCUCUUCUGUUAAUCUGGGCAGUUUGUAUUUUUGUAAGUAUUCAUGCAUCUCACUUAAAUUGUCAGGUUUACUGGCAUACACUUGGACAAAAUAGAUCCUAAUUAUUGUUUUAAUAUCCUACUGAGUUUGCCAUUAACAAGUUUUCAGAUACCCUAAAUACAAUAAAAUACAAUCAAACUACAGUUUGGACUGAGAGUGUAAACAUAGAUGGGGGAGGGGAGGGAUAUGAGAUGUCACAGGAAAAGUGAUUGAUAUAUCUGAGUAUUUUAAAAUGAGUUCUAGAUUUUUUCCUUUGACCUGAAAUCACAGCAUGGGGCAAUAUCCAUUUUGGCCACAAGAUGUCAGGAAAAACCUAUGGGGGGAUUAGGAUUUUCCACAUUGGGAAUGUGGUAUUUGAACUUUGAGCUUUAGACUUGGGAACAUUGGUGUUCUAGGGAGCAAAAGUGAGAAUGGAAUUCGUUCAAGACACGAGGUGGAGGAGUCCAGAGAUUUGUAAAAGGCAAGAUGAGGCAGAAUUUGCUUGAGCUUUUAGUAAAGUGUGUGGAAAUCAUGUAUGCAAAAGAUAUUGUGGAGUUGGCAAUGUCCAAGUCUGAAAGACUUGAAGCUCUCUCUUCUCAUUUAUAUGUUUAAAUGGCAUCCAUGCUGAUCACAUUUACCAGAAAUGAACCUUCACAUAUUUUGAAAUGCAAUGAAAGCAUAGUUUAGUUUGAAUGGGAUGAGAGUGGAGGAUGAGAUGUCAAAGGAAAAUCUCAGUUUGUGUUGUAAUGAGUUCUUAAUUCUUUCCUUUUGAAAUCAAAUUUCAGUAUAAUAACCAUUUUGGUCACAACAUGUCAGGAAAAGACCAUGUUCUCUUCUUCCAUAUGAAAUAUUCAAAGCCCCUUGAUUAAGGAAGAUCAGGUAGAAGGCCAAUUUGCUUGAGCCGUAGAUCAAGUGCAGAGAAAUCAUGGUUGUAAGAAAUAUUGUGGAGCUGGAAAUGUCCAAACCUGGAAACUAUAUGUAAUCCUGACCCAAAGCUCACUGGUAUGGGAUCCUCUCUGUGGAGAUUAAUGCUCUGCCCUGGAGUGGAGUUGGCUAUAGAGGGAUGGAAAGCUCUCCAGCCUCCUUCGAGCUUUUUUCCUCAAAAAAGCCAUUUCAUUUUCUCAAGAGCAGAACUUCUUGUUCUCAAGGAGGCUACCAGCCUCUAUCUUUUAGUCUAACUCACCUCGAACUUUGAUAUAAAGGCCCCAGUCAAAUCCAAUGGCUUUUCCCUCAAUCUUCAUCCUCCUUGACCUCUCUGCAGACUUCUACACUGUUGGGUGUUAGUAGGCUGAAGCCUUUUCUACUCAAUUCUCUUUUUUGUAGGUUUUCAGGACACCAAUCCUCUUCUGGUUCUCCUAUCUGGCUGCUAGUUCUCAGCUUCCUUUGUGGGAUCUGUUUCCAGACCACAUCCUCUAACUAUAGGUGUUCCUCAGACAUCUGUUCUGGGUCCCCUUCUUCCUCUGUACUAUUUCACUUGCAGAUGUCAUCAUCUCUAUAGUGAUGACUCUCAAAACUAUCUUUCCUGCCCCAACCUCUCUAUUGAUCUCAACUCUCACAUUUCCAACUACCUUCCAGAUGUCUCAAACUAGAUAUUCAGUAGACAUCUUAAAUUCAACAUAUCCAAAGCAGAUAUCCAUCUUUCCUCCUAAACCCUCUCCUUCUUCUACCUUCCCUGUACCUGGAGAAGGAAAUACCAUCUUCCCAGUUCCCCAGACUUUCAAUAUAAGAGUUAUUCUCAAUUCCUCACUACCACUCACCCUCCACAUCCAAGAUGUGGUCAAAACUUGUUUCUUUCAGCCUGGCUACAUCUCUCUAAAACAACACUUUUUCUUCUCUGACACUGCCAUUUUCUUGGUGCAGACCCUCACCAUCUCCUGCCUUCAUUAUUGCAAUAGCCUGAGAGUCUCGAGUCUGUCUCUACUCCAAUUUGUCCUACUGAGAGUCACUAGGUCCUUUACUGCUAUUCAAUAAACUCCACUGGCUUCCUAUUGCCUCCAGGAUCAAAUACAAAAUGCUGUUUGGAAUUCAAAACUUCAUAACCUAGCUGCCCUUACCUUUCCAGUCUUCUCAUAUCUGACUCCUCACCACAUCCUCUUCCAUCAAGUGAUACUGGCCAUCUGGCUGUUUCAGGAAUAAUAUGUUCCAUCUUUUGGCUCUGGGCUUUUUCUCUGCUGUCCCCGAGCCUGGAAUGCUCUCCCUCCUCCACUUGCACUCCUGACUUCCCAUGCUUCUCUUAAAUACCACGUUUUGGAGAAAGUCUUCCCUAUCCCCUUUUAACUGCAAUAGUUCCUAUCUUCUAUUUUUUUCCUAAUUAUUCUACAUAGUUUGCUUUGUAAUAUGUAUUCUUUGCAGGUUGUCUCUCUCCUUAGGUUACCAGCGCCUUCAGAGCAAAGACUCAUGCCUCUUUUUGGAACCCCGUUGCUUUUACAGAGUACCUGAAACCCCAUAGAAGGUUAAUGCUUAUUCACUGGUUGGAUACCAUAAUGCUUUUUUUUUUUUUUUAAAGAUUUGUCUACAUAUUCUUCAUGCCUUAGAAAAAGUUUAAAAGGAAUUGUUUUCUGCAAAUGGCAUGAUUUCAAAUUUAUGUUUGUUAGUUAGCAUUAUUUUCCUGGAAAAAAGUGGAGAGAGGAUGUUUAUCUUCCAGACUGAAUUUUUUCUGAUGGUGAAUUCUAAGGCCAGCUUUUCUUGUCUCAAUGUUUAUCUAGCCAUUUGUCACUGAAUGGGGGGUGAUUCAGGAAAUUUCCCAGACUUACAGUUUCUAUGAUCAGAUUUGCUUCAGAAAAGGCAAUUUUGUCUUCCCAUUCUGGAAAAUACUUUUCAGCUUUUUUUUUUUUUCUGGUCAUAAGAAGCAAUAUUUUUCCCCCAGAGGCAGAUUUUUUUCUUCUGGAUGAUAUCCUAGACUUCUUUUAAUGCAGUUAAAUUUUUUUUUUUAGUUUUAUGAGGCAUAACAAGCUUAUCCUGACUUGGCUUUUUGAUAUUUUUAAAAUUUUAUUUCCUUUUAUUAAUUUUAUUCUUUGGAGGAUUAGAAGCCAAAAAGUGUCAUGGCUUUCAAAGAAAAUGUCCCGUCUUGUUGAGCCCAUUGUGAACCCUUAAAUGUUGCUUGAGCUGUGACCUCACUUAGUUUAUCUAUUGCCUUUUUUUCCUGUAUGAUCAUGUUUCUCAUUUGCUAAGCCUGUUCAACAUCUAUUACACUAACAAAAGCAUGGAAUUGUGAAUAUGUCUUUUUAAACUGGUCUUAACGAAUGUACAAAAUUGCAAUAUGUAAGUGAAUUUAUUUGUUCAUUUUUGAUAAAAUUUUCUCUAUACAAGAUUUUUUGAAUCUUUAUUUGGGGUUCAGGAUCAUUUUUCUACCUCCUGAACCUGUGCUAAAGCAAAAGUUUACUCCCAUAAUUUCUGUUUCAGAGUACACUUAUCUCAGCAACAGUUACCUGCCACAUCAAUUCAAAAAGGAGAGAUUUUUCCCAUUACAAAUUUGGUGAUCCACAAACAGAGAGGCAGUAACCUUGGAAAAACCAGGGCUUUUACUUCAGAAAUUCUAUUAAGGUUAUCCUUACCUUGGAAAUUUCAGAGCAGAAAAGCAGACUGCUUUCCAAAAUCACAGAAAGGGAAGAGUGUCUUCUUUGGCUUUUGUGUAUUGUGAGAAAAUUUUUGCACUGUUUGAACCCAGUCCUGUAUGGCCAAGAAAUCAUACUUAUUGCUUAGAGACCAGAUUAAAUGUUUAACUCGGACCUUGUUAUGCUGACCUGAAAUCUAGUCAAAACCCAAGAUUGAUAUGAGGAAUGUGAGAUGUUUCCUUUCAUUAUACAUCUCAAGCAACUCACAUGAAUUAUUUGAAAAUGACUCUGUGCUGGCCAAGGAAAGACUGUUUCAUUGUUCCCUUGCUGGAACCCUAUAUAAUGUACUACUUAGAGAUAUUUGGACAGUUUUUCCCUCCACUCUCCUCCUCUGCUGGACAAAUUGACUUUUUUUCUAAGUUAUCUGGGGUUUGGGUUUUGUUCUCUGUCAAAAUUUGUCCAAUUUAUCUCCUUACUUUUGCCGGUAUAUAACCCAAGAGACUUGUCUGCAUGUUGUGGCCAUUGUCUCUGAGACCUAGUCUGAUUAUUUAAUGGUCAGAAUUGACCACUGGAUGGAGAUUGAUCGCUUGGAAAUAAAGAUAAGUUCGCUGAGUGACAUAAAGUGAUAAUUUGGAAUGGUCUAAAUGACUACUGAGAAUAGGUCAGAUGUUGGAAAUUUCUCAGGGCCUUUGGUCUGAUUAAACACUGCAGUGGUUAAAUUAGAAGCCCCAAGUUGGUCUGGUUAAAACUGAUCAAUGGGUAGUCCCGGUUGAAAAAAAUACAUCUUUGGUAUAUUCCUCAGUAUCAUAUUGAGGAUAGGUCAGAAAUUAUCUGAGGGUUUUAUUCUUUCUUGUUGACUGUCUUAAUGAUCUAUUUUACAGUGCUGUUACCGUCAUCAAAAUAAAACUCUGGACUAAGAUAAAAAUUUAUUUUGAGAAGUUCAGUGAACAAAUUUCAGCGAUUUUGAUUUCAUAGAGAAAUUUGGUCACAAAAUCAGUUUUCUUUGUGGUCACUCAGAUUAUGGUUGAAACAUCCGAUUAAAAAAAUAAUAAUCUAAAUAUGAGACCUAAUCAGUUGGUCCUCUAUGAAUCAUCUUCUAACCAAUUUAGAAAAGUUUCCCUUCAAGGAACCCCAAAUUAUCUAAAGGUCCAGUUUAAAAAUCUUUCUGAACCUUUGGACAAGAUUAACUUCAGGGGAUCUGAAAGAUCCUUUGAUUCUGAACAUCUUGGCCAGGUUAAGAUGGUCUAUAGAAAAUCAAUACCUCUUCCAAAUGGCUUAUUGGUGUAAUUGGGUAGAGCACAAUAAUAAAAACUUCUGCCCUAAAACUGAAAAAAUAGGUUUCCCAACAAUUGGCUUUGAAACCUACUCUACAGACAAGUCUUCCUGGCCUUUGAUAAUAGAAAGUCCCACCUAUUUAUGACAAGCAAGGUGCUAGGGUCUCAGCACUGACUCCCAAAACAGUCCCUCAAUUCUUCCCAGAAAAGCAGUUAGAGAUAAUUGGAAUCAAGUGAAGGGACUUUAGUCAAGAUGCAAAUGCACACCCUAUAAAAAUGACAGGAUAGACUAAAAACACUGGGAGACAGUGUGAAGGGAUUGAGGAUCCAACAGAUCCUGCAGUGAUCAAAUUAAUACCCUUGUUGUUUAUCAAUAAAGGUGCAGAUAAUAUCCCAGAUUGUUAUUUAACAGACUGGGGUUGGGGCGUAUGAGUGGGGAGGGAGGAAUUAAAAUACUUAAAAUUGUGUUGCUCAUGACCUAGGUCUCAUAACAGAAUAAAACAAAAAAAAAAAAAAAUGAGUUGAGCAAGAAUCUCAACAAAUAGCGCAGCUCAAGGUAGUAUCUUCCUCAGCUAUAACAUCUGGCUUGGGCAGAUAAAGUAAUGACUGUAAUCACCCCAAUUUUCAGAAUCCCAGGAGAGGCUGAGGAAAAGCCUAGGCCUUCCUGAAUCACCAUAUAAAUACUCCUAUUCUAGUGACCUAAAUCUGCAUUGCAAGCAGAAAGGACAUUGGAAAUGUCACCUUCCCUCACAUCUAUUAGCAUCCUUUCAAGUGCUUUGAGGGACUUCAAACAUGAAACCCCUUUAUUCUAGGAUGAACAGGAAGUUAGGAUGAUUCAACACUAUUGCUUAAGUUAAUGAAAUUUCACAGCUAAAAUAGCUCUCUCUGCUAUCUGUAUCAAACUAAAAUUCUGAUGUUAAACACUCCUUCUCAAUUAAGGGUGGACUUAUUUCCACUGACUCUUUGAUCACUUUAAGUGAGAGCUAAGAUUCAGAAUAAGCAGGAAAAACUUUAAGAUAAAUUUCCCCAGGAUAUUCUCAGGCCUGGCCAUGUUGAGAUUGCAGAGAUGAAGACAAGAAAGAAGUAAGAGUUUAUGGCAUUAUACACUAAAGACUAAAUUCGUAACUAAAAUACCUUUGCUACAAAUUUCCAAAUAUCUCAAAGAAGAGAUAUUUUUGUAAAUUGUCAAAUAGAUAAAUGUAAUGUGGGAGUGGGAAGGGUAGGAAGGAGAGAAACUAUCUUGAAUCCCCUACAACUAAGGUUACAACAUUUAAUAGUUAAAAUAACUCUGGAUGCCCAUUCGUUCAGGAAUGGCUGAAUAAAUUAUGGCAUUGGAAUAUUUUUGUUCUAUAAGAAAUGAGGAGCAGGCAGAUUUCAGAAAAGCCUAGAAAGACUUGCUCGAACGGAUUUUGAAGGAAGUGAGAACCAGGGUAACACUGUACACAGUAUCAGCAAGAUUAUAUAAUGAUCAACUGUGAUGAAUUUGGCUCCUCUCAGCAAUUAGGUGAUUCAAGAUAAUCCAAUUGGGAUGGAAAAUGACAUCUGCAUUCAGAGAAAGAACUAUGAAAACUGAAUGUGAAUCAAAUUACUUAUAUUUUCACUUUUUUUAUUUCUUUGCUUUUCUUUCUUGUGGGUUUCUCCUUUUUUCUGAUUUUUCUUGCACAGCAUGACAAAUAUGGAAAGAUGUUUAAAAGGAUUACACAUAUUUAACCUAUAUCACAUUGCUUGCCGUGGGGUGAGGGAGAAAAAUUGGAACACAAAGUAUUACAAAAAUAAAUGUUGAAAAACUAUCUUCACAUGUAUUUGGAAAAAUAAAACCAACUCCUUCUCUUAGAGGGUGGUAGAGUCCCAAUUUUAGAACCUGAUUUCACUGCAUGGAAGAGAGCUUCUUAAACUUUUUUUACUCAUGACCCCUUUUACACCCAAGAACGUUUCACAGAACAUUUAGCAACCAUAAAUCAUAAUUUCAUGACCCCUACAUUCAGGUAUGUGAUCCCAUAGGGGAUCAUUACCCAAAGUUUAAGAAGCUGGGGCCCAGAAAAUGCUAAAAAAGCCUUCAAGAUAAGGAAAUAAAACGGGUUUGCAGCCUUCAAUUUUAUGCCUUAUUAGGUGAAAUUCGAAUCUUAGGAGGGUCUUUUAUUGUAUCAAUAUAUUUUUUUUCUCUAAAUCAUUUUUAACAGAACUUAAUUGUUUAGGGCAAAUUAAAGGCAGUAACCUAAAAGAAACUGAAAUGAAUUGCAACUCAAAAUGUAAAUGCAGUCUGGUAAACUAACCAAGAAAUCUGUACAGGAGAUUCAGUGGAGUACAAUACUGGGAUAUGAUUGGAAAAUAAAGAUGAGAUGGAAUUAAAAGUAAGAAGCAAAGGUAAGUGAAUGUUUCAAUUACAAGGAAAGAAGAGUGGUUUUGAAGUCUGUAGGCCUUUAAUCAAAAGGCAGUUAGAUGACUUGGUGAAUAUAACUCUGUGCCUAGAGUCAGAAAGAUCUGAUUUCAAACCCAGCUCCAGGCACUUAUAAGCUGUGUGAUCCUGAUAAGUGACCACUUAGCCAGUGUUCACCUUAACACACGGGAGAAGGAAAUGGGAAAGCAUGUCAAGAAAACCAUGGACAGCAUGGUCCAUGAGAUCACAAAGAAUCUCACAAAUCAAAUAACUGAAAAACAAGGUUUAAGCAAAUAGAGAUAACAGGAGAAUGGAAGUCCAUAUAGACUGAUAACCUCCAUUUGAAGGUUAAUGUGAAGUAAGGGUUAGAUUUCUGGAGAUUUUUGAUCUCACUGAGAUGAGAAGGCUAUGAGAAAUUUCCUAUACCUGUUAAAUCUGUGGGUACCAGUGGGAGAAAUAUCUCCUAACAAUUUAAGAUAGACAAGAUUCUAUCAAGUUACAUACAACACUAACUAAAUGGAAACUAGAGACAUAAAUUUGGAUGAUGGAAAUAUUUGAGUACAGCAUAUUAAAAUUCUAUCCUUGAAAGACCAUUACAGAGCUAUGUUCCAACUUUUAUUUGUGGGACACUCAUUCCUAGUAUGAUGUUUGCCGUUUCCAUGUCACAAGCCCCCAAAGAAAAGUUGAAAAUGUGAGGGUGCCACCAUAAAUCUCUGGAAGUAAAAGUAACUGAAAGUAGUGAGCUCUAUAAUACGAGGAACAAGCUGCAGGUCUUGGGAAAAUUGAGGUUUUAAAUGACACCAUUUGAAACUGUGAAUCCUGAUUUGACUGUUGUGUCCAAAAACUAAAUUAAAACAUGUUCUCAUUUAAAGUGAGAUGUGUUCUUCUGUUUAAGAUAAUUGUGAUGUUUGGUCUAGUGGUAGAUCAGAUCUUCAUGUAAAAAACACUUAUUCUUUGGCAUUAAGGUGAUGUGCUUAUAACCUGCAUCAGUAAGAAUUAAAAUUCUAUUUUCUUCCAAAUACUUCAAAUAGGGUAACUGAACAAAAUUAGUAUAGAAUGCCAAACUGAUGAAGGGAUUUGUCAUGUAAGAUGAUUUAUGCAUUCAACUGAAUUGACAUUAUUUUAUCUAACAGUAAGUUUUGUUUUAUGUUCUAUAAUUCAUUCUCUUGCAUACACUGUUAGGUUUCCAACUUGUCUUAUUUGUGAUUUUGGGAAAUGAAUGUAUAAGAAAAUACAGUGAAUUCAAAAGAAUGACAACUAGAGAGCAAUAUAAUUGUAUCCUUAGAAAACUAACUCCUCUUUUAAUCUGGAUACCAUUAAAGUACAAGUUAAUCUAAUAUAGAAGGUCAAUAUGUUUAAAAACUAUCAAGUACUUAAGUAGAUAUACUUUGUUUUAAAAUAAGUAACAGUAAUAAGUAUUUUGGAAAGAAAAUAUUACCUGCCUUUGAUCUUUUAACUGUGUUAUUUGUUGGGGACUUACCAGGUUCUUCUAUUUGGGUAAGAUCAUCAAAUUUUAUUAGUCUUCCUAAAAGCAAGUUGCGAAAUUCAAGAGUAAAAAAUAGUUUAAAGAGAAGUAAGGAGACUUACAGCUUUGUUUUGAAACCAUGUCCUCCUUUCUUUAGAAGCAAAUUUUGAAAAUGUGGGCAAGUGAAAUGUGUUUUUUGUUUGUUUAAAUAGGAUAAAUCCUGUUGUUAUAAUACUCAAAACAUAUUUUACUUGUUAUAAUGGUCAUAUAUAAUGCUAUACUUGUAUGAAAGAGCUUAAUGUUUUUCAUUUUUCUAUUCCAAAGUCUAUUUCCAUUUAUGGUCACUAUUUGUUUCAACUAACUAAAUUAAACAAGUAGAGAAAUUCUAAGGCUUGAAUUCUAUCCCCUUGCAAAAAUUAUGCAUUUAUGUGGAUUACCGUUGUCUCCAUCGUACUACCUCUUUUCUAGAUGAUGUUAUGAAAUACAUAUGUGUGUCUGUACAUACAGACAUACAUAUAUAUUUUCAAAAAAUGGAUAGAACAAAAAUGUAGGUAUGAAAAAGAUAUAAAGGUUUACUGGAAUAGUAAACUUUACUUUGAAAUAAGCAAUGAAAUUGGACUUUUCUCUAAGAAUCAGAAGGUACAUAUACGUGGUAUAUAUAUGUAUACACAUGAACAUAAUUAGUUUCAAAAUGUUUCUAUUAAGAACAAAGACUGGAUGUCCAUCAGUUGGAGAAUGGCUGAAUAAAUUGUGGUAUAUGAAUAUUAUGGAAUAUUACUGUUCUGUAAGAAAUGACCAACAGGAUGAUUUCGGAAAGGCCUGGAGAGACUUACACAAACUGAUGCUGAGUGAAAUGAGCAGGACCAGGAGAUCAUUAUAUACUUCAACAACAAUACUAUAUGAUGACCAGUUCUGAUGGAC
This 15192-nucleotide long non-coding RNA is filed under the name Sarcophilus harrisii (Tasmanian devil). RNAcentral describes it as "lncRNA (ENSSHAG00000030025.1)". The record is from RNAcentral. Lineage: Eukaryota; Metazoa; Chordata; Mammalia; Dasyuromorphia; Dasyuridae.